Molecule: ribosomal RNA, 492 nt
Filed under: Protobothrops xiangchengensis
Lineage: Eukaryota; Metazoa; Chordata; Lepidosauria; Squamata; Viperidae
Description: partial 12S ribosomal RNA
Rfam family: Bacterial small subunit ribosomal RNA
Source: RNAcentral
GCCUAACCAAACACACAAUUAAAUUACCAAUUGUCCGCCAAACAACUACGAGUCACACUUAAAACUUAAAAGACUUGACGGUACUUCAUCACGACCUAGAGGAGCCUGUCUGAUAACCGACAAUCCACGAUUAACCCCACCCUUUCUCGCCCAACAGUCUAUAUACCGCCGUCGCCAGCUUACCUUGUAAAAGAAAUAAAGUGAGCCAAACAGUACCGCACUAAAACGACAGGUCGAGGUGUAACCCAUGAAAGGGGUUAAGAUGGGCUACAUUCUCCAACCGAGAAUACGAAUAGCACUAUGAAACUAGCGCCUGAAGGCGGAUUUAGCAGUAAGAUAGGAAUAAAACACCCAACUGAACAUAACGCAAUGAAGUGCGUACACACCGCCCGUCAUCCCUGCCACACAACAUUAAAUCUUAAUAAACCAACAAAAGAAGCCAAACAGGGCAAGUCGUAACAUGGUAAGUGUACUGGAAAGUGUACUUAGAAA